RNAcentral lists this ribosomal RNA (253 nucleotides) under uncultured bacterium. Its description in RNAcentral is "partial 16S ribosomal RNA". It matches the Rfam family "Bacterial small subunit ribosomal RNA", at positions 524 to 776 of the family's 1533-position model. The record is from RNAcentral.
UACGAAGGGGGCUAGCGUUGUUCGGAUUUACUGGGCGUAAAGCGCGUGUAGGCGGGUCGUUAAGUUGGGGGUGAAAUCCCGAGGCUCAACCUCGGAACUGCCUUCAAAACUGGCGACCUGGAGCAAAGAAGAGGCGAGUGGAAUUGCGAGUGUAGAGGUGAAAUUCGUAGAUAUUCGCAGGAACACCAGUGGCGAAGGCGGCUCUCUGGGACGGUACUGACGCUGAGACGCGAAAGCGUGGGGAGCAAACAGG